Molecule: ribosomal RNA, 327 nt
Filed under: uncultured eukaryote
Lineage: Eukaryota
Description: partial 18S ribosomal RNA
Rfam family: Eukaryotic small subunit ribosomal RNA
Source: RNAcentral
CCCUUAGAUGUUCUGGGCCGCACGCGCGCUACACUGAUGCACUCAACGAGUCUCACCUUGACCGAAAGGUCCGGGAAAUCUUCGAACUUGCAUCGUGAUGGGGAUAGAUUAUUGCAACUAUUAAUCUUCAACGAGGAAUACCUAGUAGGCGCAUGUCAUCAGCGUGCGUCGAUUACGUCCCUGCCCUUUGUACACACCGCCCGUCGCUCCUACCGAUUGAAUGAUCCGGUGAGGCCCCCGGAAUGUGGCAACGGCUUCGGUUCGCCGAACUGAUGCUGCGUGAAGCUGUCCAAACCUUAUCAUUUAGAGGAAGGAGAAGUCGUAACA